GGUGCUAUAGUGUAGUGGUUAUCACUCGGGAUUUUGAGAAAUCGUCGGAGUUUGAAACUUCCCGAAACCCAGGUUCGAACCCUGGUAGCACCU
Non-coding RNA from Hygrophoropsis aurantiaca, 93 nucleotides. The record is from the annotation of a GenBank genome assembly. Lineage: Eukaryota; Fungi; Basidiomycota; Agaricomycetes; Boletales; Hygrophoropsidaceae.